This 1112-nucleotide long non-coding RNA is filed under the name Heterocephalus glaber (naked mole-rat). RNAcentral describes it as "lncRNA (ENSHGLG00000036488.1)". The record is from RNAcentral. Lineage: Eukaryota; Metazoa; Chordata; Mammalia; Rodentia; Bathyergidae.
CCCCGCCCCCGGCGCACAGUCGGAACCUCCCGGGACCAUCAAGCCGCCGUCGCCGCUGUUACCGCCGCUCCGAGCCCGGGCCGGGCCGAGGAGGAGCGGCCCCUGCCCCGCCGGGGGAGAUGGAGGCCAGAACGCUAGAGGAGGCCGUGGUGUUCGGAUUUGCGGGGCGCGGGGUGGGGACGGGGGCGAGUGCGGGAAGGGCACCCCCGACUUCACCCUUUCCGUCCGUCUAGUCCCCACCCCUCCAUUUCCGCCCGGGUCUCCCCCUCCCCUGCUGUGCCUGUCUGUAGUCCACCUCCCUGGGUUUGUCCAUUUCCUCACCUCCUCGCUGCACCUUCAUCCUUCCUGGUGUCUGCACCUCUCCCUCUGCUUUUCCAUUUGCCUCACUGUACCCCGUUUCUCCUUCUGCACCUGUGCCCCAUCUCCCCUUUCACUCUGUCUCCCGUCUCCUACCAUGUGUCACCAUCCUCCCUCCCCUCUGCCUUCUCCCUCCGCGAGUGUCAUCCUGUAUUUCUUCCCUUGCCUGAGUCCCCGUACGCCCCUCUCCAGAUCAGUGGGACCGUUAGUUUUUAAUUCGGAUCGACUAAGGUGCGACCGGAAACUGCAGUCCCAGGCGCCAGACAACCACCGGGAUGGUCCCUCGCCCCACCCCACUGCUCCUCCUCACCUCUUCUAACGUGUUGCAUGCCGGGAGUUGGGGAGGGAAGGGGCUGCCGGCUACAUCCAGGAGGCUGAGAUUCGGGGGGCAGAAUCAAUCUGGGAGACUACCCCGGCCGCGGCGGCGCUUCAGUGGACGGGUGGGAAGAGAAAGAAAACUCUUUUAUUCUGGGGGAGAGGCGUCUCUCUUCCUUAUCCUUAAGUUCUUGUUACUCCCCCACCUCUUUUAAUUUAUUUCGCUGUUUCCGGAGGGAGGGGGGGGGUUGGGUCGGGAACUGUCCGAGGUGCUGAGCUGGAGCGGGACCAGUAUCCUCCCGGGAAAGUACCAGGGACUGGGUUGGGCCUGGGGCCGUGUCCAAGGUGCCAAUGAUGCGGGCCGACGGCGCGGGCCGCACUGUCUGUCUGUCCGUCUGUCCCGAAGAACUAUAAAGCGCUGGAAGCGCCUGCAGAUGGUU